AACGAACGCUGGCGGCAGGCCUAACACAUGCAAGUCGAACGCUCCGCAAGGGGAGUGGCGCACGGGUGAGUAACACGUGGGAACCUACCUUCUGGUACGGAACAACCAAGGGAAACUUUGGCUAAGACCGUAUACGACCUCCGGGUGAAAGAUUGAUCGCCGGAAGAGGGGCCCGCGUCCGAUUAGGUAGUUGGUGAGGUAACGGCUCACCAAGCCUUCGAUCGGUAGCUGGUCUGAGAGGAUGACCAGCCACACUGGGACUGAGACACGGCCCAGACUCCUACGGGAGGCAGCAGGUGGGGAAUAUUGGACAAUGGGCGCAAGCCUGAUCCAGCCAUGCCGCGUGAGUGAUGAAGGCC
This 359-nucleotide ribosomal RNA is filed under the name uncultured bacterium. RNAcentral's name for it is "bacterial SSU rRNA". It matches the Rfam family "Bacterial small subunit ribosomal RNA", at positions 29 to 416 of the family's 1533-position model. The record is from RNAcentral.